UUUCCCACCCCUCGGAGUGGAGCUGCACAUGCGGCUGCUCCCUGUUCUGUCCCGCCCAGCCACCGUCGCUCAGGAACGGGUCCCUGCAGCCCCCAGCCGAUGGCAGGACAGUAGUCGCCUGUCAGGGGUCGUGAAGGACUGAGGCAGAGGCAGAGGCUCCCGGGCCUCAGAUAGUGGUUGUCUCUGGAGGCCAUGGGCUACCCAGAGGUAGAGCGCAGGGAACCCCUGCCUGCGGCAGCGCCAAGGGAGCGGGGCAGCCAGGGCUGCGGCUGUCGCGGGGCCCCUGCUCGGGCGGGCGAAGGGAACAGCUGCCGGCUCUUCCUGGGUUUCUUUGGCCUCUCGCUGGCCCUCCACCUGCUGACGCUGUGCUGCUACCUAGAGUUGCGGUCCGAAUUGCGGCGGGAACGGGGAACCGAGUCCCGCCUCGGUGGCCCGGGUGCUCCUGGCACCUCUGGCACCCUAAGCAGCCCUGGGAGCCUCGACCCGGUGGGUCCCAUCACCCGCCACCUGGGGCAGCCGUCCUUUCAACAGCAGCCUUUGGAACCGGGAGAAGAUCCACUCCCCCCUGACUCCCAGGACCGGCACCAGGUGAGUCACCUAGGAGGGGCGGCGGCCUUGGAGGCCCCCUCCCCUGCUCGGUUGGGCGGGGGCCUGGGCCUCAGGGCUCAGGGGACUCUGCCACUCAGAGCCAAGUUCCAGGGCAGGAGCUGGGAGUGGGCCGGAGUGCUGGGGAGAGGUUGUCCAGGUCAGGUUGUUCUCGGUUCCUGCCUUGGCUCAUCCAGACCCUCUCCGGUCCCGUGGAGUUGGAAAGCCCAGCCUGCACGCGCCGCCCCCGGGGAGGUGUGGGCUGCUUAGCGAAAAGUUGGCCUGCCUUGCACCCAUCCGGGCGCGGAGGUGCCUGCGCCGCCCCCGUGGCCGUCUAACGGCGAGCAGCUUGGCCCCUCGUGCCCCCUGGUGAGUUUCUCUGCCCGUGGUGCUUGUUUCUUCGUGUCCCGAGCUGAUGCCAGCACUAGCAGGCUCCUCUUUGGAGUUGGAGCUGUAAACAGCUGUACUAACUGUUCCACGCCCGUUGAAACAACUUUUAACCAUACUUUCAGCGCUGGAUUCUUGUGCGCUGACCAGGACCUGAGCUUUUUUCACACUUACCUGCAACUUGAGACGGAUUCUCUUCUGCGUUCUAGUUAGGAUCAGCGCCCCUGAGGAAUUCUGGUAGAAAUAUGCCGUCUUGCUAGACAACUUCUGAACAGCAAUUUAAAAAAUCUAUGGAAAUAAAACUCACCCUUUGCAUGCCGGUUCUGACACUCUUGUAGAUGGAGUUGGGUGCAGUGGGUGUGAAGAGUUUUCAUUAUUGCUGCCUUUGGAACAGGAAGUUGGAUUUUUGUUUUGUUUUGAUAAUCUUUAGAGGGUUUGUAUCUCUUUUAGCAAACCAUUAUCGUAGUUGUUUUUCUUACUCGUUAUUCCAGCAAAUUUAGUGUACUUGAUAUUAAGUCUUCCUGUGGUUUCCAUAGCUGUCUCACACUUGAAUCUUAGGCAGAACAUCCAAGAAUCUUUUUGAGGUGGUUAAAGAUUAAUGGUGAAUUUGUAACUUCUGGAGAAAACGACACUUUGUGUAAGUAAGCUACUUGAGGUGAGACAUGGAAGCCUUCUGUACUUGGUGCUAUACCCAUAGUUAUUGUCACAACUCUUUAAACAUUAUUUGUGUUGCUUUGACUUUCCAAGUUGUACACUUUAGAGGUGUCACAUUCAUAAUAAUACUCUAGUGUCAGAACACACACUUUCUCUUCUUUUCCUUUCUCUCUCUGUGUCUCUCUUCCUUCCUUUCUUUCUUAACAAUGUGCUUUGUAAAAUUGCUUCAGACCUAAAAUGUCUUUCAAAGACACUCAAAUUUAUAUAACUGCGUAUCAAAGAAGAGAAUCAGUAGACGGGCUUCUCAUACUUGAAAUUUUAAACACCGGGGCUAAAUGACAAUGAAUUAGGACUCUGGGUCUUUUAUUUACUACCCCCCUCCAGGAUCCUAGUAGAGGUACUUAGCAGCUGCACCUUGAUAUUCUCUCUCUCUCUCUCUCUCUCUCUCUCUCUCUCUCUCUGUAUGUACACACACACACACACACACACACACACACACACACUCACUCAAAAGAAAUCAGGAAAUUACUCAAAUGGUGGUCAAGGAUUUUUGGCAAUCAGGAUGGACAGAGCGCUGGUUAGAGAUUGUGGGACAGCAGUAUACUAGAGCUUCUGUGAUGGCAUGGGACUCUCACAGCUUUGCAAUGGCCUUUAGUUGCUUACAUCAGAUGUAGCAAAAAUACUUAUGUGUUUCAGCACAGCUUCUUAUCUGCUAUCCUUUAGUCUAUUUUAGUCUAUGGGGCAGUCAAAGCAAUGAUACCAGUUCUUUACAUUCAUUAGCAUUAAUUGGAAUUUAUGUUUUCCAGAUUUGUAAGGUACCUCCUGAAUCUAUUUUAUUGAUUCCUUUGGAGAACAUACAGGCCUCAAGGGAGAAGUAAGUGGCCCAAGAUAUCCUAGCUUGAGUCAAAACUAGGAUGAAGGUGCUCUGCCAUCCUCCAGUUUAGUACACAGUCCUCCAUAAUAUAGUGUCUACUGAGAAACUUUGUUUUUGAGGGGGGCGAUGAAGGGACAACAGGUUGAAACUCCAUAGUAGGCUUUUUACAAAAUGAGAGGCUCAGAUCUGUGUCACUUUGUUCUGCUCUAACUAAUUUUGACCAGACUAAGUUUAAUCACAUAUUCCUUAUUCAUCUUGAAUUUCACUUUCAGGAGAAUUUUAGCCCACUGAAGACAUUUUAUCCCAGAUUCAACUAAUUUGUUUUGGUGAUAUUAGCCUUAGCAUAUACACAAACAAACAAACAAAUAUAUAAAUGAAUGAGUAAAUAAAUAAAGGAAAAGUUGAUUGGCUAAUUGAUUUACAUUGCUGUGCUAUAUCUUGGGUAACAUUUCUAGUGCCCUGCUGCACCCUCUGCUGGUUUUUCGGUGACAUUUAAUCGUAGGUAGUAUCUGCUGACAGUCAAAAUUCUAAGUUGUGCUGACAGAUUCUGAUUCAUAAAUAAGGAAGUGAAUAACCUUGUGGGACUUGGCCAUGUAGGUCUUAUUUUAUAUUUUAGUUUUUCAACAUAAGCAGAUGUUGUUACAGCAAACCUUGUAUGCAGAGGACUAGAAACAAAGCCAGCAUCUUCCAGUGGGUACUAUACUUGGGUUUCCUACCAACAUAUUUAGAAAGAGUAAAGGGAAACUGAUGCAACUAAACUGUGGUGAGCCCAACAAUCAGUGGCUUUUCAUUAUGAGUGGUCAGACAUGUAUUUAGGCAAGGAAAAAGGUAUUCAUACUUAUGAGAUGGUUGGACUGUGGGCUCUUAAUCAUGACUCAAGGAAAGACUCCAGAAGUCAUUGAAGGUUUGUCUGUACCAUACUGGAAUUAAACAAACAAACAAACAAACAAACAAACAAAGCAGGAUAUGGAAAGAAUUCAGGACACAAAGUAGGAAUAUAAGCAAUUCUCUGCAAGGGAGAUUUUGGAAAGGUAGGGACAUGGUUUCAUAAAAACUGAGAGGUUGACAUUAGCGUUUCUGGAAUCAGGGGCUGUCUCCCUCAGCUGAAGGAGUAGCUGCAUAUGGAUACUUAGUGAAGAUAAGUUUGAUGGCUAGAGAUGCACCAGUAGUGUCUGAUUUUGACAACAAAUAAUUCAAAACAUUGAAAAUCACUGGAUAACACUGUAGAGAAGAAGGUCUGGUCAUGAUUAUGUCUCUCAAAUGUCAAAAACAUGGCGGAAAAAUCUCAGCAACGUGUCAACAACAAAACAAACCUUUUUUUUCCAUGAAGAAGAUCAGAUGUGAUUUUUUCCCUACAAUCAGAAAGAAAAUUCUGAUGACUGUU
Molecule: long non-coding RNA, 3884 nt
Filed under: Mus musculus (house mouse)
Lineage: Eukaryota; Metazoa; Chordata; Mammalia; Rodentia; Muridae
Description: long non-coding RNA chrX:99975588-99979472
Source: RNAcentral